Molecule: unclassified non-coding RNA, 353 nt
Filed under: soil metagenome
Description: partial contains 5.8S ribosomal RNA, internal transcribed spacer 2, and large subunit ribosomal RNA
Rfam family: 5.8S ribosomal RNA (bases 1-120)
Source: RNAcentral
GAUGAAGAACGCAGCGAAAUGCGAUAAGUAAUGUGAAUUGCAGAAUUCAGUGAAUCAUCGAAUCUUUGAACGCACAUUGCGCCCGCCAGUAUUCUGGCGGGCAUGCCUGUUCGAGCGUCAUUACAACCCUCAGGCCCCCGGGCCUGGCGUUGGGGAUCGGCGGAAGCCCCCUGCGGGCACAACGCCGUCCCCCAAAUACAGUGGCGGUCCCGCCGCAGCUUCCAUUGCGUAGUAGCUAACACCUCGCAACUGGAGAGCGGCGCGGACACGCCGUAAAACACCCAACUUCUGAAUGUUGACCUCGAAUCAGGUAGGAAUACCCGCUGAACUUAAGCAUAUCAAUAAGCGGAGGA